AUUGAACGCUGGCGGAAUGCUUUACACAUGCAAGUCGAACGGCAGCACGGGGGCAGCCCUGGUGGCGAGUGGCGAACGGGUGAGUAAUACAUCGGAACGUGCCCGGUCGUGGGGGAUAACGUAGCGAAAGUUACGCUAAUACCGCAUACGAUCUGAGGAUGAAAGCGGGGGACCUUCGGGCCUCGCGCGAUCGGAGCGGCCGAUGUCAGAUUAGGUAGUGGGUGGGGUAAAGGCCUACCAAGCCGACGAUCUGUAGCGGGUCUGAGUGGACGACCAGCCACACUGGAACUGAGACACGGCCCAGACUCCUACGGGAGGCAGCAGUGGGGAAUUUUGGACAAUGGGCGCAAGCCUGAUCCAGCCAUGCCGCGUGCAGGACGAAGGCCUUCGGGUUGUAAACUGCUUUUGUACGGAACGAAAAGGCUCUGGCUAAUACCUGGGGCUCAUGACGGUACCGUAAGAAUAAGCACCGGCUAUCUACGUG
RNAcentral lists this ribosomal RNA (484 nucleotides) under uncultured bacterium. RNAcentral describes it as "partial 16S ribosomal RNA". It matches the Rfam family "Bacterial small subunit ribosomal RNA", at positions 29 to 507 of the family's 1533-position model. The record is from RNAcentral.